AAGAAGAUCUAAGCGCCAGGACUUACCCUCAAAAGGGGUAAGUUGACGAGGUGGAGGUUUAUCGAGGUUUUCGGCGGAUGCCUCCAGGUAGUUGCUACCUACCUUAAGGAGACUCACAAAACUGGUGGGUGACUGCCAGGACAAAAGGUCUCCAGUAGCAUUA
This 163-nucleotide non-coding RNA is filed under the name Dictyoglomus thermophilum H-6-12. RNAcentral describes it as "glmS glucosamine-6-phosphate activated ribozyme". It matches the Rfam family "glmS glucosamine-6-phosphate activated ribozyme aptamer". From Rfam's summary of the family: This entry contains a glucosamine-6-phosphate activated ribozyme that is found in the mRNA for GlmS. GlmS is an enzyme that uses fructose-6-phosphate and glutamine to generate glucosamine-6-phosphate. The ribozyme catalyses self cleavage of the glmS mRNA that is thought to regulate GlmS activity. Lineage: Bacteria; Pseudomonadati; Dictyoglomota; Dictyoglomia; Dictyoglomales; Dictyoglomaceae. The record is from RNAcentral.